AUACGUAGGGGGCGAGCGUUGUCCGGAAUGAUUGGGCGUAAAGGGCGCGUAGGCGGCUUUGCAAGUCAGUAGUGGAAGUCCAUUUUUCAAGGAUGGAAGUGCUACAGAAACUGCGGAGCUUGAGUGCAGGAGAGGUUAUCGGAAUUCCCGGUGUAGCGGUGAAAUGCGUAGAGAUCGGGAGGAACACCAGUGGCGAAGGCGGGUAACUGGACUGCAACUGACGCUGAGGCGCGAAAGUGUGGGGAGCAAACAGGAUUAGAUACCCUGGUAGUCCACACCGUAAACGAUGAAUGCUAGGUGUAGGAGGUAUCGACCCCUUCUGUGCCGCAGUAAACACAGUAAGCAUUCCGCCUGGGCAGUACGGUCGCAAGAUUAAAACUCAAAUGAAUUGACGGGG
Molecule: ribosomal RNA, 397 nt
Filed under: uncultured bacterium
Lineage: Bacteria
Description: partial 16S ribosomal RNA
Rfam family: Bacterial small subunit ribosomal RNA
Source: RNAcentral